GGAAGUGAAAGAAAAUUCUAGACCUGCUAAGUCCAAGAGAUUAUAGUUUAAUUCUAUAACACUCCCG
This 67-nucleotide transfer RNA is filed under the name Ophiocreas oedipus. RNAcentral's name for it is "tRNA-Ser". The record is from RNAcentral. RNAcentral also lists the same sequence under 1 other name. Lineage: Eukaryota; Metazoa; Echinodermata; Ophiuroidea; Euryalida; Asteroschematidae.